This 28-nucleotide non-coding RNA is filed under the name Rattus norvegicus (Norway rat). The record is from RNAcentral. Lineage: Eukaryota; Metazoa; Chordata; Mammalia; Rodentia; Muridae.
UCUUCAAAGUGGUUUGGACCUUAGUUAC